GAUGAACGCUGGCGGCGUGCCUAAUACAUGCAAGUCGAACGCACAGCGAAAGGUGCUUGCACCUUUCAAGUGAGUGGCGAACGGGUGAGUAACACGUGGACAACCUGCCUCAAGGCUGGGGAUAACAUUUGGAAACAGAUGCUAAUACCGAAUAGAACUCAGUGUCGCAUGACACAAAGUUAAAAGGCGCUUUGUCGUCACCUAGAGAUGGAUCCGCGGUGCAUUAGUUAGUUGGUGGGGUAAAGGCCUACCAAGACAAUGAUGCAUAGCCGAGUUGAGAGACUGAUCGGCCACAUUGGGACUGAGACACGGCCCAAACUCCUACGGGAGGCUGCAGUAGGGAAUCUUCCACAAUGGGCGAAAGCCUGAUGGAGCAACGCCGCGUGUGUGAUGAAGGCUUUCGGGUCGUAAAGCACUGUUGUAUGGGAAGAACAGCUAGAAUAGGGAAUGAUUUUAGUUUGACGGUACCAUACCAGAAAGGGACGGCUAAAUACGUGCCAGCAGCCGCAGUAA
Molecule: ribosomal RNA, 513 nt
Filed under: uncultured bacterium
Lineage: Bacteria
Description: partial 16S ribosomal RNA
Rfam family: Bacterial small subunit ribosomal RNA
Source: RNAcentral